This 253-nucleotide ribosomal RNA is filed under the name uncultured bacterium. Its description in RNAcentral is "partial 16S ribosomal RNA". It matches the Rfam family "Bacterial small subunit ribosomal RNA", at positions 524 to 776 of the family's 1533-position model. The record is from RNAcentral.
UACGUAGGGGGCAAGCGUUGUCCGGAUUUAUUGGGCGUAAAGAGCGUGUAGGCGGCCAGGUAGGUCUGCUGUGAAAUCUCCAGGCUUAACCUGGAACAGUCGGAGGGGACUGCCGGGCUAGAGGACGGGAGAGGAGCGCGGAAUUCCCGGUGUAGCGGUGAAAUGCGCAGAUAUCAGGAGGAACACCAAUGGCGAAGGCAGCUCGCUGGGACGGUACUGACGCUGAGACGCGAAAGCGUGGGGAGCAAACAGG